This 41-nucleotide ribosomal RNA is filed under the name Uromyces vignae. RNAcentral describes it as "partial 28S rRNA". Lineage: Eukaryota; Fungi; Basidiomycota; Pucciniomycetes; Pucciniales; Pucciniaceae. The record is from RNAcentral.
GGGACUACCUGCUGACUAAGCAAUCAAUAAGCGGAGGAAAA